Molecule: non-coding RNA, 2443 nt
Organism: Pogona vitticeps (central bearded dragon)
Lineage: Eukaryota; Metazoa; Chordata; Lepidosauria; Squamata; Agamidae
Source: RefSeq, a predicted model, not a curated record
CGCGCUUCGGAGAGGGAAGAGCCGCGGCCAAUCCGCGAGCGGCAGGGCGGAGCCAAGGGUCAGGCCGGAGAGCUCGCCGCGCACAGCGAGGGACGCUAGGGGGCAGCCCUGUCUUCCAUAAAGCCCAAUGAGUCGGCUGCGUAAACAGGAGAGGGUAGGGGUUUUUUUUAGCCAUCUGCUUGAGGCGAUUCAACUUUGCUUUGUGCUCUAACAACUCCACAGAUUAGGAACCUAACUGUAUUUUCUGGAACUGCAAUUCCCAGCAUUCCUAAUGGCAGAGUUUGGGAUGGUGAAUGAUGAUGUGAUGCAACAGAGGGAAUUGAUGGAAAUGUAUGCAGUACCCAUUUUGGACAAUGGAAAGAACCCAGGUGUCGGUAGUGAUGGAUUGCCAGGCAGGCUGGAAGCUUUGAUGCAUGGACACAAAACAAAUUUGCUCAGUGACCUGUAGGGCGAGACAGAAAUCCUUGCCAGCUCUGCAAAUGACCCAGCACUGAUUCUCGCUGUUCGUGUGCGCUCAGCAACCUUUCCUAAUUUCCAUUAUGCAGCCUGAAAUUUUUUUUGGACACACAGACUAGAGCUCUGUCCAGCGCCUGGCAAAGCAUUUUUGAAUCUCAUGUUAAGCACUAUCAAGUACAGACGGAGCACAGCAGCAAUACCGGGGAACACUUCAAUUAGGUGUUGGUCACAAUUAAGUUAAAGAACAUCUGCAUGUUGCAUUUUAGAUGACGUGUUUUCUUCUGUGUUCUGGGAUUUCCUAAGAUGCAAAUAUUCUUUUAACUGGUAACAUUUGUUUACUAAUUUGUAGUCAAUAUUUUUGUAAUAUAAGUUUAAUACUAUCCUCAUCAAUUUCAGAACCGUCACCAGUUCUGGGAGGAAUUUGAACUUUUUCAUAAUUGCCCAAAUGGGUCAAUCCUCUUGCAUAACUGUUUAUCAAGCAGUCAUAGUUGAUAUAGAAUGUCUAUCCUAAUUUUGUCAGCUCCUCUCAAUGAAGCACUACUUGUUCCAUCUGAAAUGUUCCUUUUAACAAUGCAUUUGGAUGAAUCAGAAUAAUUUGAGGUGUUAUCUUCACACAAACCUUCUGAGUAUGAUUCACAGUAUGCAAUCCUAUCAGCUGAAUCUUGUCUGAGUUCUUUAACAAACAAAAAGAUGAUGGUAGAAGAUAAGCUUCAAAUACAUCAAAAACUAGGAGCCUGCAGUUUUUUUUUUUGAAACGCUCUAGCACUUCUUCCCAAAUGACUGUUAAAACAGCAUAUUCCACUUUUGCCAAACUUAUGGUAUAAAUUAUUUGCAUCUCAUUAACGUUCAGACUUCUGAGUUGUCAAAAUGUGUUUGAGUCUGUAAAAUACUCAUAUAUCAAUUUUUAAUUGCCCAGACCACUUCACACGUAGUGUGCGGACUAUCUAGUUAAACUUAGGCUCUUUAGAGAAAAGUGUAGAUUGUUCUGUAUGUUUAAAAUUCUCUAUCUUUGUAGAGAUCCAGAGAACAUACACCUCCUGCAAAUGCCAAAAUAGUCAAUAACUUCAGGUACAGUAGACACUGCCUUUUCUCCAACAUGUUUAAGCAAAUUGGUUGCACAUGAUACAUAGCCUGCAUGCCUGUUGUUUUAAAAGAGUGCUGGCAGACUUUUCUCCAAGCCCUUCAUGCUAGAUGAAGUAUCGCAAGAUUGGCCAUUGAUAUUUUCAAGUGAAAGCAUAUGUUCACCCAAGACGUCUUGAAUUUUGUUUAACAAAGUCAUGGAUGAAUGAUAAAAAAUGUUAAAAAUGUCCCACAGUUUUUCAUUAUAACACUGUCAAAAUAUAAUUACAUGUCAAGACAGUCAUGCAAUCAACAAUGGAGCAGUACUUUUGUGUCUAGAUGGUUAAUUUGGUUCACAAUUUCAUCUUGCACAUGUUUUCCCAUGAUUUCCAUCAAUUCUUCAUAAACUGUUUUGGGUAGGGAAGUAGCAUUUACUUUUUAAUUUUUACAUUUCUUGAGAUCUUCAUGUAAAACGGGGUAAAACUCUACAUUAAGUUCAAGGGCCCCCGAAGUUUCCAUUAUUUAGUGAGCCCCGCUUUAGUGAUGGUCACUCAAAGCCUUCAGCUCCUACAGUCCCCCAAAGCAACAAUCUGUCAAGAGGCAAGCUGAUGUACGGAGGUGGCAAGGCAAGAAGCAAUAUGUAUUUGUGUGGGUGUAUUGGAUCAGGGAACUCUUACAUCAUGCUUGCCAACCAAUCUUUGCUUUUAACUCUCAUGCUUCCACUGCUUGGCUCUUUCUUUGCCUCCCAAGGAAUGCCACCCAACUCUCCUCCUUUUGCAACCUUGAACUUUCUGACAUAUAACCAAAGGGUGCCCUGGAAAAGCCACCACCUCUGCUGUCACACUGCUCCCUCUUUCACUAUGUGUUAGUGGAGGUGCUGUUUAACUAUCUACCCAUAUCACUCAAUCGAGUCAGGAGAUGAGGCUGA